Molecule: ribosomal RNA, 1004 nt
Filed under: Haloarcula hispanica
Lineage: Archaea; Methanobacteriati; Methanobacteriota; Halobacteria; Halobacteriales; Haloarculaceae
Description: bacterial SSU rRNA
Rfam family: Archaeal small subunit ribosomal RNA
Source: RNAcentral
CGAGGCCAUUGCUAUCGGAGUCCGAUUUAGCCAUGCUAGUCGCACGGGCUUAGACCCGUGGCAUAUAGCUCAGUAACACGUGGCCAAACUACCCUACAGACCGCGAUAACCUCGGGAAACUGAGGCCAAUAGCGGAUAUAACUCUCAGGCUGGAGUGCCGAGAGUUAGAAACGUUCCGGCGCUGUAGGAUGUGGCUGCGGCCGAUUAGGUAGAUGGUGGGGUAACGGCCCACCAUGCCGAUAAUCGGUACGGGUUGUGAGAGCAAGAACCCGGAGACGGUAUCUGAGACAAGAUACCGGGCCCUACGGGCGCAGCAGGCGCGAAACCUUUACACUGGACGACAGUGCGAUAGGGGGACUCCGAGUGCGAGGGCAUAUAGCCCUCGCUUUUCUGUACCGUAAGGUGGUACAGGAACAAGGACUGGGCAAGACCGGUGCCAGCCGCCGCGGUAAUACCGGCAGUCCAAGUGAUGGCCGAUAUUAUUGGGCCUAAAGCGUCCGUAGCCGGCCGGACAAGUCCGUUGGGAAAUCGACGCGCUCAACGCGUCGGCGUCCAGCGGAAACUGUCCGGCUUGGGGCCGGAAGACCUGGGGGGUACGUCCGGGGUAGGAGUGAAAUCCUGUAAUCCUGGACGGACCACCAAUGGGGAAACCACCUCAGGAAGACGGACCCGACGGUGAGGGACGAAAGCUAGGGUCUCGAACCGGAUUAGAUACCCGGGUAGUCCUAGCUGUAAACGAUGCUCGCUAGGUGUGCCGUAGGCUACGAGCCUGCGCUGCGCCCUAGGGAAGCCGAGAAGCGAGCCGCCUGGGAAGUACGUCUGCAAGGAUGAAACUUAAAGGAAUUGGCGGGGGAGCACCACAACCGGAGGAGCCUGCGGUUUAAUUGGACUCAACGCCGGAAAUCUCACCGGUCCCGACAGUAGUAAUGACGGUCAGGUUGACGACUUUACCCGACGCUACUGAGAGGAGGUGCAUGGCCGCCGUCAGCUCGUACCGUGAGGGG